AUUGAACGCUGGCGGCAUGCCUUACACAUGCAAGUCGAACGGUAACGGGCCUUCGGUUGCCGGCGAGUGGCGAACGGGUGGGUAAUACAUCGGAACGUGCCCGAUCGUUGGGGAUAACGAGGCGAAAGCUUUGCUAAUACCGCAUACGAUCUACGGAUGAGAUCCGGGGACCGCAAUGCCUUGCGCGGGCGGAGCGGCCUGUGGCCGAUGAGGUAGUUGGUGGGGUAGAAGCUUACCAAGCCGACGAUCUGUAGCUGGUCUGGGAGGAUGAUCAGCCACACUGGGACUGAGACACGGCACAGACUCCUACGGGAGGCAGCAGUGGGGAAUUUUGGACAGAGGGCGCAAGCCUGAUCCAGCCACGCCGCGCGCAGGAUGAAGGCCUGCGGGUUGUAAACUGCUUUUGUACGGAACGAAAAGCCUUCUUUUAAUACAGGAGGGUCAUGCCGGUACCGUAAGAAUAAGCACCGGCUAACUCCGU
This 481-nucleotide ribosomal RNA is filed under the name uncultured bacterium. Its description in RNAcentral is "partial 16S ribosomal RNA". It matches the Rfam family "Bacterial small subunit ribosomal RNA", at positions 30 to 506 of the family's 1533-position model. The record is from RNAcentral.